CCUAUGCAUGUAAAUGGAGUGCUACCUUCAAGACAACAAUCAUUUUCUACAGAUUUUGUUACCUUGAGUGCCUUUGUUCUCCAAAUGGUUCUUGUGUUCCUUUUAAGAAUUCAUUCCUAUUUUGGGUAACAUUAGUGAACAGUUUGCUUGCGUCGAUGAAGCACAUAUAUGUAUGUCCAAUGUUUCUGGUGUCACUGUUUGAAGUUGGUAUUUGUUUUAAGUCGACUAAUUAAAGAUGUUUGUUAUAGAGAGGUAUAAAUCGGUAACCGCGUAUGUAAUAUGUACACAGAGGCUGAUAAGAGUUUCAGAGUCCAGGGAUGGAUAUUCACCAGGACAUAGCAACUCCAAAUACCAACCAUCUGACCUUUCCUGAGAAUAUGAUUGUCACAGGGGCCUUCCGGAAUAACAUGUUAGUGGCCUAGUUCUCAUUUCUCUCCUAGAAGCUGAUUACAGCUAUUCUGUGUGUAGUAACAAAACAUACAUGUUUGUUAUUCACGGAUGUUCACACAAGCCAUAUCACUGCCAGGCACAUCACUCACACAGCAUCAGGAUUCACAAUAUUUUUGGGUUAUGCAGACCUUCAACCAAUAUUUUCUUUGGAACACCCUGCAGCCAUUAAGGUGUGCCAGCCUCGGAUAUUGGGAUGUCUGAACUUUUGUUUGAAUCAUGACUUUGUGGAUUCCUCUAACUUACAGAAACUCACAGCACACCGUUGUUGCCUUGUCUGGCCAGUUGUGCCGACAUCUCAAAUACUGUACAGACUUUGAAUCUUAUAUUCUGAUAUAAACAGACCAUUGGACAGCCACAAAGAACCUUGUCUACAUUGCCUACAUGCCUAUAUUGCCUACAGGUUACAUCACAGCACACCAACAUGCCUGGAUUGCCUACAGGUUACAUCACAGCACACCAACAUGCCUAUAUUGCCUACAGGUUACAUCACAGCACACCAACAUGCCUAUAUUGCCUACAGGUUAAAUCAUAGCACAUCAAUACAUCAAGAAGUUGAUGUGAUGAACAACGAGGAGAGCUCUAUGGAUAUACAACUUCUUUAAUAUAAUAUGAGCGACACUUCAGUGUAGCUACUAACACCCAUUAUCAAGCAAAAUGAUUUUUUCCCUCGUAAUAUUGACUUAGAUCUGGUAUUAUUUUUUUAUGUAUAUGUGUGUGUGUGUGUAUAAAUUUUAUUUAGAUUUGUAUUGCAUCCACAGAAGUUAUAACAAUAGAUAAUAUAAACCGUAUCAUAUUAGUUGUGUUUUUUAUUCCACAGUUCGGUAGUGUUACUUUACUUUACACUGACUCUAACACAGCACUGAGUGUUGUGUUUCCAGAUCUUGCAUUGACCAUUGACCGUAAUGAAACAGCAUGCUGUUUGUCUCAGACUGCAUUAAGCCAGUUGAGCACAGACUCUCCCAGACUCUUGUUACUUACAAACUAAAUGUAUAUGUAUUCCCAUACUUUCAUGUGUUCAUGAUUUUAUAUCAGUUUAUGUAACAUGAUGGAAAUGUUUUCUUUAUGUUAUCUAUUACUGUUACUUUGAUAAACUUCAUCUAUCAA
Molecule: long non-coding RNA, 1554 nt
Filed under: Haliotis rubra (blacklip abalone)
Lineage: Eukaryota; Metazoa; Mollusca; Gastropoda; Lepetellida; Haliotidae
Description: uncharacterized LOC124258687
Source: RNAcentral